This 373-nucleotide ribosomal RNA is filed under the name uncultured bacterium. Its description in RNAcentral is "bacterial SSU rRNA". It matches the Rfam family "Bacterial small subunit ribosomal RNA", at positions 525 to 896 of the family's 1533-position model. The record is from RNAcentral.
ACGGAGGGUGCAAGCGUUGUUCGGAAUUACUGGGCGUAAAGAGCGUGUAGGCGGCUGAUCAAGUCGGGUGUGAAAGCCCGGGGCUUACCCCCGGAAGUGCGCUCGAAACUGGUCAGCUAGAGUAUGGGAGAGGGAAGUGGAAUUCCUGGUGUAGCGGUGAAAUGCGUAGAUAUCAGGAGGAACACCGGCGGCGAAGGCGGCUUCCUGGACCAAUACUGACGCUGAGACGCGAAAGCGUGGGGAGCAAACAGGAUUAGAUACCCUGGUAGUCCACGCUGUAAACGAUGGGCACUAGAUGCUGCGGGUAUUGACCCCUGCGGUGUCGUAGUUAACGCGUUAAGUGCCCCGCCUGGGGAGUACGGUCGCAAGAUUA